This 396-nucleotide ribosomal RNA is filed under the name uncultured bacterium. RNAcentral's name for it is "partial 16S ribosomal RNA". It matches the Rfam family "Bacterial small subunit ribosomal RNA", at positions 523 to 918 of the family's 1533-position model. The record is from RNAcentral.
AUACGUAGGGAGCGAGCGUUGUCCGGAAUUACUGGGUGUAAAGGGUGCGUAGGCGGGACUGCAAGUCAGAUGUGAAAUGCCGGGGCUCAACCCCGGAGCUGCCUUUGAAACUGUGGUUCUUGCGUGAGGUAGAGGGAAGCGGAAUUCCUAGUGUAGCGGUGAAAUGCGUAGAUAUUAGGAGGAACAUCGGUGGCGAAGGCGGCUUACUGGGCCUUUACUGACGCUGAGGCACGAAAGCGUGGGGAGCAAACAGGAUUAGAUACCCUGGUAGUCCACGCUGUAAACGAUGAUGACUAGGUGUGGGGGGACUGAACCCUUCCGUGCCGCAGUUAACACAAUAAGUCAUCCACCUGGGGAGUACGGCCGCAAGGUUGAAACUCAAAUGAAUUGACGGGG